GAUCAAAUCGGAGAGUCGUUACGUAUAUCUGGCAUAGAGCUAUUUAUGUCAUAAAAGAAACUCAUUUUACCGAUGAAUCAUAUAACUGGAUUCUGAGGGGGGCCCAAAGACUCGCAAAACGUACACUCGGGAACGAACUAACAGAGCCACAACCAUUGGUCCUUGUACGAACGCACGUGGCGGCUGGACUCCCUGUAGAAACUGAACCUCCCGGUCGUUUCGGGCUGUCUCCAGAUAGACUCCCUCCACAAACUGAAACUCCCCGUCAGACGCUGUCUUCGGCUGGACUCUCUCCACAAACUGAUCGUCGUCCCAGGCGGCUGACUCCGGCUGGAUUCAUUCUACCAAAUGAAACUUCCCUUCGUCGCAGGCUGUUUCCGGCUAGAUUCCCUCCACAAACUGAAUCUCCCCGUCAGACGCUGCCUCCGGCUGGAAUCCCUCCACAAACUGAAGCUCCCCGUCAGACGCUGCCUCCGGCCGGACUCCCUCCACAAACUGAAGCUCGCCGUCAAACGGUGCCUCCGGCCGGACUCCCUCCACAAACUGAAGCUCCCCGUCAAACGCUGCCUCCGGCAGGACUCCCUCCACAAACUGAAACUCCCCGUCGCUGGCCAUCUCCGUCUCCGGUGACAAUCCCAAAACGGGUUGAAAUACAAGUACAUCCAAAGGAUGAAAAGAUUCCCGACGAUGAUGAUGAAAAUGAAACAAAUUCAGGUUGCGUUAUUUGCAUGGAGAGGAAGAUCAAGUUGAAGCUGAUACCAUGCAAUGAUGAACUUUGCUAUACUUGCACCCAAACCAUGAGCGGAUUAAGCAUUGAUGUCCAGCCUAUAAAACCUUUCAAUUGCCCCUUCUGUCGUGCAAAAGUGACCGGCUACACUCCGAAGCCCGACUCCGAUGAGACGAAGAAAACGCUGAGAAAACGGAUACAAUACAGUGCCAAACGUGCCUUAACCUUCUGCCGGCGAUCAUAGUGUUAAUGUCACAACGCACUUGACGUACCGCAGCCUGCACAAAAAUGAGAAAAUCACAAGCGGUCACUUACAAAACAAACCAACAGGCUCUUGUCGACGCAGGUGCUGUCCAGUUCGUGACGAUAUGAGGCACCCGUAGGGCGCAAAAGGUGACGACGUCAAAGCAGGCCUCGGCCCUAGCCAGCGGGUCGAUUGUUGAAUCGUUAUCGAAUGACCUUGAUCGAUAUAGAGCAUUGUGAGGAUAGGGAGCUAUCGAUCAAACUCAUUCGAUAACGAUUCAACAAUCGAGCAGCAGGAACUUCGAAACACGACGCCAAACCGAGCCUCUGCCGUGUUAAGGAAAAACGCCGUAUGAACGAUCUAGAGUUCCCAAAUUUCCUUUGAUAAACUGCCCCAGAUAAGACAUAAUAUUUUUACAACAUUGGGCAAAUAUUGUCAGUAUUGUCGCAAUAUUUACACAAUACUGACAAUAUUUUGAUAGUAUCUUAAUCAAAAUUAUUUUUAA
Molecule: long non-coding RNA, 1476 nt
Filed under: Bemisia tabaci
Lineage: Eukaryota; Metazoa; Arthropoda; Insecta; Hemiptera; Aleyrodidae
Description: lncRNA ENSSSA3NGG001420
Source: RNAcentral